AACGAACGCUGGCGGCAGGCUUAACACAUGCAAGUCGAACGCCCCGCAAGGGGAGUGGCGCACGGGUGAGUAACGCGUGGGAAUAUGCCCUUCGGUUCGGAAUAACACAGGGAAACUUGUGCUAAUACCGGAUACGAUCUACGGAUGAAAGAUUCAUCGCCGAGGGAGUAGCCCGCGUAGGAUUAGCUAGUUGGUGAGGU
RNAcentral lists this ribosomal RNA (200 nucleotides) under uncultured bacterium. RNAcentral's name for it is "partial 16S ribosomal RNA". It matches the Rfam family "Bacterial small subunit ribosomal RNA", at positions 29 to 258 of the family's 1533-position model. The record is from RNAcentral.